This is a long non-coding RNA of Nasonia vitripennis (jewel wasp), 746 nucleotides long. RefSeq lists it as uncharacterized. NCBI's taxonomy places the organism in Eukaryota, Metazoa, Arthropoda, Insecta, Hymenoptera, Pteromalidae. The transcript has 2 exons. The record is from RefSeq and is a predicted model, not a curated record.
CUCUCACCUUGAAAUCGACGCAAGUCUUGCGUAGUGUCGUUGUCGGAUGCCAUGGUUUCGUAAGCUGCUGCUGUCGCUGUUUUCCCCGCGAAACCGCAAGACGAUGAAUUUUUCAAAUUCACCAGAGCAGAGACAUGUCGCACUUAUAAGCUGGCUUUUGCGCUAAUUGCAUCACGGGGAUCCUAUCCUCGUGACCAUCGCGCUCGCACGACUCGCGGCAGCGAUGCUGCGCGACGAUGACCAUUUAAAAACGCGCAUUCGCGAGGAGAGGGGGCAUCCCUUCCCCCUAACCGAGCACGACGAACAGAUGGUGUCCCUCAAGUCUUUUCCGUCUGCGUCUGCGGUUUACGAGUUCGCGCUUAUAAAUGGCGUGCAGCACGUGUAUGUUUGAAUAAAAGAAAUUCAAAACUCGAAAUCUUUAUCAAUGUUCUUCUUUAUUGUUUAAAAUGUUGUACAUAUAUCUCGUGAUCAUGAUUCAUUUUUGAAUAUGAUCCAUUCAUUCUCAUAUACACUAUAUGUUAAUUAUGAAGUGUUACAAAAUUAUUUUCAAGUAUUUGUAGGUAAAUGAAUCUGACAUUAUCUAGGUUUCCUUAGUUACCUAAUUUAUACAUGUUGCUAGUUAUAAAAAAAAACUAAUGAAUAAUUAAAUAUUCAAUUUUAUUAAAUUCAUUUGUAUUAUUGCAGCAGCAAUUACUUUUAGAAAUUUGUACACGGUGAAAUCACGGCACCAGUAUUACUAAAUGCUC